This 255-nucleotide ribosomal RNA is filed under the name uncultured bacterium. Its description in RNAcentral is "partial 16S ribosomal RNA". It matches the Rfam family "Bacterial small subunit ribosomal RNA", at positions 524 to 776 of the family's 1533-position model. The record is from RNAcentral.
GACAGAGGGGGCAAGCGUUGCUCGGAAUCACUGGGCGUAAAGGGCGCGUAGGCGGGAUGGCAAGUCAGUCGUGAAAUCUCUCGGCUCAACCGAGAAACGUCGGCUGAUACUGCCGUUCUUGAGGGAUGCAGAGGAGACUGGAAUUCCCGGUGUAGCGGUGAAAUGUGUAGAGAUCGGGAGGAACGACCGGUGGCGAAGGCGGGUCUCUGGGCAUCUCCUGACGCUGAGGCGGCGAAAGCGUGGGGAGCAAACGGG